AAUCUGGGGUCUGGGUGAAACUGCAGCUCUGCUGGUAUCCAGGGACGUGAGGUUCCGGGGGACUGCGUUUCUCUGUGGCUUUCCAGGUCGGCAGGAGCCGGAGGAAAUGGGGUGCCAGAGCCGUGCCCCAUCAGGCCGUGUUUGCCUCUGAGGAACAGAGAGUCCGGGCUGAGGGAGAAGAGGACGAACUCCCAGCCAUUCAGGCCUGACAGUCCCCUGCAGCGAGAGCAUACACUGGAAGAGUUCAGGGUCGAAGACAAGGCUGAGGGAAAAUCCAGGGUAUUUAUAAGGGAUGAUGAGAGGUGGGUCCAGGGUGAGAAUCCAGUGGGUAAAGGGAAAAGUGGUGUAAGGGAGGAGUAAUACAGGGCAGGGGCCGAUAAGGUAGGAUGGGUGGAACAGUGCAGUGAACAUAAACCAAUGGGGGGGGGGGGGGGGGGGGGGUACAGGGAUACAAGAACUUUCCAGAGCUGGGAGGAGACAAGGGAUGACAUAACUGGGAAUAGAGGCAACCAAUGGGAAAUGAGGGUUAUAAAGCUUUACCUUAAAGCUUUACCAUAAAGAAUUUUUAAAACCUUUGACAACCUUCUUAGGAGCUAUUCUCAACUUAAACAAAUGCCCUCCAAGGUCUGGGGCCAUGGGCCAACUCCUCACCCAAAACACUGGUCUGGCUUGGCAUGUCAGCCAGUUCGAUUCCUACACUGGGCCUCUGCAUGAUAUUCGCCCAGAAGCUGCCUUUCAAGGACUGAAGUGGAACAAAAGGUAUAAAAGCAGUGUCAUUCCCAGAGGGAAAACAGUUUCAUUUCUCUUGUGUCUGCUUUUUUUUUUUUUUUUUUUUUUUUUUUUUUUUUUUUUUUUUUUUU
Cinclus cinclus is the source of this 860-nucleotide long non-coding RNA. RefSeq lists it as uncharacterized. The transcript has 2 exons. The record is from RefSeq and is a predicted model, not a curated record. Lineage: Eukaryota; Metazoa; Chordata; Aves; Passeriformes; Cinclidae.